This 482-nucleotide ribosomal RNA is filed under the name uncultured bacterium. RNAcentral describes it as "bacterial SSU rRNA". It matches the Rfam family "Bacterial small subunit ribosomal RNA", at positions 28 to 512 of the family's 1533-position model. The record is from RNAcentral.
GACGAACGCUGGCGGCAUGCUUUACACAUGCAAGUCGAACGGUAACAGGCCGCAAGGUGCUGACGAGUGGCGAACGGGUGAGUAAUGCAUCGGAACGUGCCCAGUCGUGGGGGAUAACGCAGCGAAAGCUGUGCUAAUACCGCAUACGAUCUACGGAUGAAAGCGGGGGACUCAGCAAUGAGCCUCGCGCGAUUGGAGCGGCCGAUGUCAGAUUAGGUAGUUGGUGGGAUAAAAGCUCACCAAGCCAACGAUCUGUAGCUGGUCUGAGAGGACGACCAGCCACACUGGGACUGAGACACGGCCCAGACUCCUACGGGAGGCAGCAGUGGGGAAUUUUGGACAAUGGGCGCAAGCCUGAUCCAGCAAUGCCGCGUGCAGGAGAAGGCCUCGGUGUAACUAGCUUUGUACGUACGAACGGUACUGGUAAUACCUGGCUAAUGACGGUACGUAACGUAUAAGUCACCGGCUAACUACGUGUCACG